ACAUCUGGUGAAGCCUUGCCAGUCUCUAAGUUGGGAAUUUCUGACUGUAGGAAAAGGUGUCUAGGGGAUGUGUUUUACUUUCUUCUUUCCCUUCACCCAAACUAUGGAGAUGUUUGAUAAGCUCUGGUAUUAAAAGAGGUAAAAAUGUCAAAGGAAAAAGGGAGAUGACUCAUCUAAACUAAGCCAGAAAAGGAAACGGAAGAGCACUCAGCGAGAGAAGAUUAUGAUAACAUAUGCCAGUAACAAGCUGUCCCGUGCUUCUGGAAUGUGUUUUGACACUGGAGUUAUUACUUUAAUAACCAAAGCCCAAAGCAAAUCAUACUGAAGAUGCAUCUGAAAGGCCAGG
Molecule: long non-coding RNA, 346 nt
Organism: Gavialis gangeticus (Gharial)
Lineage: Eukaryota; Metazoa; Chordata; Crocodylia; Gavialidae
Exons: 3
Source: RefSeq, a predicted model, not a curated record